Molecule: ribosomal RNA, 306 nt
Filed under: uncultured Acidobacteriota bacterium
Lineage: Bacteria; Pseudomonadati; Acidobacteriota
Description: bacterial SSU rRNA
Rfam family: Bacterial small subunit ribosomal RNA
Source: RNAcentral
AAGUCGAACGAGAAAGCGGGGGCGACCCCGUGAGUUUUUCCCCGUACGGGUGAGUAACACGUAGCUAACCUACCCUUCAGUGGGGGAUAACCUGGGGAAACUCGGGCUAAUACCGCAUAAGAUCCUGGUUGCGAUGCAACAGGGAGCAAAGGUCCGCAAGGGCCACUCAAGGAGGGGGUCGCGGCCGAUUAGUUAGUUGGCGGGGUAACGGCCCACCAAGACGAUGAUCGGUAUCCGGCCUGAGAGGGCGCACGGACACACUGGAACUGAAACACGGUCCAGACUCCUACGGGAGGCAGCAGUGGG